GAUGAACGCUGACAGAAUGCUUAACACAUGCAAGUCAACUUGAACUUCGGUUUGGGUGGCGGACGGGUGAGUAACGCGUAAAGAACUUGCCUCACAGCUAGGGACAACAUUUGGAAACGAAUGCUAAUACCUGAUAUUAUGAUUAUAUGGCAUCGUAUAAUUAUGAAAGCUAUAUGCGCUGUGAGAGAGCUUUGCGUCCCAUUAGCUAGUUGGAGAGGUGACAGCUCACCAAGGCGAUGAUGGGUAGCCGGCCUGAGAGGGUGAUCGGCCACAAGGGGACUGAGACACGGCCCUUACUCCUACGGGAGGCAGCAGUGGGGAAUAUUGGACAAUGGACCGAGAGUCUGAUCCAGGAAUUCUGUGUGCACGAUGAAGUUUUUCGGAAUGUAAAGUGCUUUCAGUUGGGAAGAAAAAAAUGACGGUACCAACAGAAGAAGUGACGGCUAAAUACGUG
RNAcentral lists this ribosomal RNA (454 nucleotides) under uncultured bacterium. Its description in RNAcentral is "partial 16S ribosomal RNA". It matches the Rfam family "Bacterial small subunit ribosomal RNA", at positions 28 to 507 of the family's 1533-position model. The record is from RNAcentral.